GAUGAAGCGAGGAGGUGAAUAUGAUGAGGUCUACCGCAAAAUCGUUCUACCAACGCUACUUUUCUGCGACGCAGGAAGCGUCCUGGCUGGCCCGCCUGAUGGCAGGACGACAGCAGGAAAUUCUGGGGGAACUGAUGCAGUGGGGAGUGACGUCAACGACCUCUGAUCAUUGACUUGCAGACAUCAUGUGUGACUGAGUAUUGGUGUUAUACUCGUCG
RNAcentral lists this small RNA (218 nucleotides) under Klebsiella pneumoniae. Its description in RNAcentral is "SgrS RNA". It matches the Rfam family "SgrS RNA", at positions 1 to 203 of the family's 232-position model. Rfam says of the family: In sugar transport-related sRNA (SgrS) is induced under conditions of glucose phosphate stress in E.coli. This small RNA acts to negatively regulate the translation and stability of the ptsG mRNA, which encodes the major glucose transporter in E. coli. The record is from RNAcentral. Lineage: Bacteria; Pseudomonadati; Pseudomonadota; Gammaproteobacteria; Enterobacterales; Enterobacteriaceae.